UGACCUCAUUUACACUGGAGUAAUAAUUAGUACUGCUUCACUGACAGUUAAGAAAAAAAGUUUCACAGUAUAAUAAGGCAGCAUCUCCUUUGUUAAGAUCUACAUUGAUUAUUAACCCUUGCCAUGAAAACCCAAAUUUAACUCUGCAUUGUGUGUCCUAAUGCUAUGGCAACCCCACCCCUAACACUAACAAAGGCUCCCAACUGCACCCACCAACGUACAGCAGUGGUUGGCAUCAGAGCAGGCAGGAUGGGGUGGCAAGGCUUGGUAGGUGAAGAUAUCAGCGUCCAAAGUGUUUUCAGAAAACUCACAAUCUUUUGAGGGCUUCCACGAAAACUCAAGUUGAAUCAAAGAGCAGGAAUCCCUCCUCCAUUCUCCUUCUUCAUCCCCACCUGCCAGUCCCCUGGAACAGCCAAGUGCAAAGUGGAGCACAGCCAACGUCACCAGCAUCCACAGCUCAUCAUCGUGGGGCUGCUCCCCUGGGUAACACUGCACAGCAUUCACUGUCCAGAAUGAGUUUUUAUGCAAAGACAUGUUCUGAAAGGCCAACCAGGCUUUAGGCUCCAACUCCCACCAGCCAAGCACCUGAACUAGCAGCCCCACAAAUAUCCCACAUCCUUCACCUUUCCCCAUAUUUGUUAUGGAAUUCAACCCUAAUCUUCAUUGUUGACCUUAAAAUAGUCAAAAUUGGCACGCUGUAAUGCAGCUGGGCAAUGCAGGAAGCCCAUCCUUCAUCUUCUCCUCACUCCUGCCCUGAAAUGGAGGACAAAGCCCAUCAGCCAAGUCGAGGGGCACUGGGAGCAGCCUCCCCCCAGAAUCAGUCACUCUCCUGAAGUCAGCAUCCGCUGGAUCCUGAUCACACAUCAUUUCAAUAGCACGUUGCUUCAAGAGGGAUGGCGUCAACUUACUAUGGAAACGGAAAUGGACAAGAUGCAACCUUUGCACUAAUGUCUACACACAGAUCCAGGAUUAGGCAAGCAUACAGGAGCAGCCCACACUCAACACCAUUUAAAAUAACCCGUGAACCAAGUUUUCAGUCAUACGAUAUAGAACAGUUACUACGAAAAUUCCAAAAAUAAGCAACCUGAGAGUCUUCUGAAGGACUAUUUCAACUCAUUUCAACUUUCGGGCUUGUAGGCCUUGUAAGGGCAAUCAGCAGCAAAAGUUACAGGGUCUGCAGGACUGAGCCCAUUGUCAAGCAGUUGCUUGGAAGAUUCAAAUAUUUUUUUCUUCACUGGUGUGCACUUAAUGAUAGGGUUGCCUGAAAGACGUUGGUAUGGAAAAGUAUAGGGAAAAAGCAAAUCUCAAAUUCUCAUCCAAGGGCAGCUGGUAACAGGUAUUUGCCAAAUAAUAAAAGACAGCUUUAUGAUGUAUCUAGCUCCAUAGGAGCACCUCAAAUUAUAACCAUAAUUGAAGUUAACAAUAAGAAAAAAUACGCAUGGUCAAGGACUAAGGGUGUCCUGUCAGAUCCUUGUUGUCAUCAAGAACAACAAUCCAUUGAUACGCAACUGAGCUCUGCUUCUACUGAAACAAUCAUCAAUUCACAGUUUUAAAAGAGAAUAAAAUAUACUUAUGAAACGAUA
Gallus gallus (chicken) is the source of this 1583-nucleotide long non-coding RNA. RefSeq lists it as uncharacterized. The transcript has 2 exons. The record is from RefSeq and is a predicted model, not a curated record. Lineage: Eukaryota; Metazoa; Chordata; Aves; Galliformes; Phasianidae.